RNAcentral lists this ribosomal RNA (276 nucleotides) under Triticum aestivum (bread wheat). Its description in RNAcentral is "partial small subunit ribosomal RNA". Lineage: Eukaryota; Viridiplantae; Streptophyta; Magnoliopsida; Poales; Poaceae. The record is from RNAcentral.
AUGACGACACAUGGGAGGAUGCACCGAUCAUCAACAAAUACAUUUCCACGUCACAAACUUCUUUGCCUUGAGGACAAGGCGCAACUCAAGAUGACGAUAGUCUAUACUGUCUCAAACUCAUCUGAACAGACACACUGCUACCUGAAGAAACACAAUACUAGCACUGAGUGGAACAAAAUUUUCCAGAGAAUGAAACACAACACUAGCACUCUCCAAAGAAUGGAACACAACACUAGCACUGAGUGGAACAAAAUGCUCCAGAGAAUGACAGACUGA